Contarinia nasturtii (swede midge) is the source of this 636-nucleotide RNA transcript. It is a transcript of the gene named protein Asterix, with no coding region annotated. NCBI's taxonomy places the organism in Eukaryota, Metazoa, Arthropoda, Insecta, Diptera, Cecidomyiidae. The transcript is spliced from 6 exons. The record is from RefSeq and is a predicted model, not a curated record.
AAAUGAUUUUGACACACGUCAGACGACUAUUAAUUUGUAAUUAGGUGUAUUUUCAUGUUUUUUUUCCUCUUUCGCUAAAUUAGUAUUUUUUCGUCACUUGAAUAAGAUAAAAAUGUCGUCACCGCCAGUAGACCCACGAAGACAAGAUAAAAUUCGGUCAUUUAAGGUAUCGCCAAAUGGCCAGACCGAAGACUUUUUACCCGAUUAUUUCAACAUUUUGGGAAUGAUCUUUUCAAUGUGCGGCCUAAUGAUGAAACUCAAAUGGUGUGCUUGGUUGGCCUUGUAUUGUUCCUGCAUAAGUUUUGCGAACUCAAGAGCUAGCGAUGAUGCAAAACAGGUGCUGUCGUCAUUUAUGUUGAGCGUGAGUGCCGUUGUCAUGUCAUAUAUGCAAAAUCCAGCUCCAAUGACGCCACCAUGGGCUGCUUGAAAAUAAAUCUACUGUAAUUAAGUCCAAAUCGAAAUCGGAAGAAUUAAAAGAGUUCAAACUUCAGUUGGUUGGCAAUGGUACGAAUGAAAAUGGAAGCAACGAUUUGAUCGAAGUCACAAGAACUCGGCAAGGUGAUGGUUUGGCAACAUAAACUGGAAUAUCUUCCUUUGUAAAUUCGGACAAUACUUGACGACAUACUCCGCACUUGA